RNAcentral lists this ribosomal RNA (181 nucleotides) under uncultured bacterium. Its description in RNAcentral is "partial 16S ribosomal RNA". It matches the Rfam family "Bacterial small subunit ribosomal RNA", at positions 1319 to 1500 of the family's 1533-position model. The record is from RNAcentral.
CAUGAAGUCGGAAUUGCUAGUAAUCGCGGAUCAGCAUGCCGCGGUGAAUACGUUCCCGGGCCUUGUACACACCGCCCGCCACACCAUGGGAGCCGGUAAUACCCGAAGUCAGUAGUCCAACCUCGUGAGGACGCUGCCGAAGGUAGGAUUGGCGACUGGGGUGAAGUCGUAACAAGGUAGC